RNAcentral lists this ribosomal RNA (220 nucleotides) under uncultured Glomus. RNAcentral's name for it is "partial small subunit ribosomal RNA". It matches the Rfam family "Eukaryotic small subunit ribosomal RNA", at positions 591 to 817 of the family's 1831-position model. The record is from RNAcentral. Lineage: Eukaryota; Fungi; Glomeromycota; Glomeromycetes; Glomerales; Glomeraceae.
CCAAUAGCGUAUAUUAAAGUUGCUGCAGUUAAAAAGCUCGUAGUUGAAUUUCGGGACCAAUAUGUCGGUCGUGCCUCGGUACGUACUGGCAUCGUUGGUUUCUCCCUUCUGAAGAACCAUGAUGUCAUUCAUUUGGUGUCGUGGGGAAUCAGGACUGUUACUUUGAAAAAAUUAGAGUGUUUAAAGCAGGCUCACGCUUGAAUACAUUAGCAUGGAAUAA